GAUGAACGCUGGCGGCGUGCUUAACACAUGCAAGUCGAACGGAAAGGCCCAAGCUUGCUUGGGUACUCGAGUGGCGAACGGGUGUGUAACACGUGGGUGAUCUGCCCUGCACUUCGGGAUGAGCCUGGGAAACUGGGUCUAAUACCGGAUAGGACGAUGGUUUGGAUGCCAUUGUGGAAAGUUUUUUCGGUGUGGGAUGAGCUCGCGGCCUAUCAGCUUGUUGGUGGGGUAAUGGCCUACCAAGGCGUCGACGGGUAGCCGGCCUGAGAGGGUGUACGGCCACAUUGGGACUGAGAUACGGCCCAGACUCCUACGGGAGGCAGCAGUGGGGAAUAUUGCACAAUGGGCGCAAGCCUGAUGCAGCGACGCCGCGUGGGGGAUGACGGCCUUCGGGUUGUAAACUCCUUUCGCUAGGGACGAAGCGUUUUUGUGACGGUACCUGGAGAAGAAGCACCGGCUAACUACGUG
Molecule: ribosomal RNA, 468 nt
Filed under: uncultured bacterium
Lineage: Bacteria
Description: partial 16S ribosomal RNA
Rfam family: Bacterial small subunit ribosomal RNA
Source: RNAcentral